AAUGGGAUCAUACGCAAGUCAAAGGGCAGCCUCACUGGGAGAAGGCAGGGGCCAGCCAGAAAAGGGCUGGCCCUCCAGGGCCAAAGGGCCUUGGAAGAGAGAGAUGAAGUUUUUAUAGUUUUAUUUGAUUAUUCAGGUGAGAGUGGUAAUUAUGAGAAGGGUGACACAAGUAUGAGUGCAAUGCGCGUGGUGGUGG
This 196-nucleotide non-coding RNA is filed under the name Heterosigma akashiwo. The record is from RNAcentral. Lineage: Eukaryota; Raphidophyceae; Chattonellales; Chattonellaceae.